Molecule: transfer RNA, 64 nt
Filed under: Caenis pycnacantha
Lineage: Eukaryota; Metazoa; Arthropoda; Insecta; Ephemeroptera; Caenidae
Description: tRNA-Gly
Rfam family: tRNA
About the family: Transfer RNA (tRNA) molecules are approximately 80 nucleotides in length.
Source: RNAcentral
AUUUAUUUAGUAUAAUAAGUAUAUUUGGCUUCCAACCAGAAGGUCUAGAUUUCUAGAAUAAAUA